UAACCAGGUUGGACCAUAAGUCA
Molecule: non-coding RNA, 23 nt
Filed under: Arabidopsis thaliana (thale cress)
Lineage: Eukaryota; Viridiplantae; Streptophyta; Magnoliopsida; Brassicales; Brassicaceae
Source: RNAcentral